UAAUAACACGGUUGUUAAGUGAAUCUGGCCUCCCCAUGGAUCUUUCCUUGUCAGAAGGUUGCAAAAGGGGACCACGUGACCUUGGGAUGCAGCUACGGACAUAAAUAUGAACCAGUUGCCAAGCAUUUGAAUUUUGAUC
Pseudonaja textilis is the source of this 139-nucleotide non-coding RNA. Lineage: Eukaryota; Metazoa; Chordata; Lepidosauria; Squamata; Elapidae. The record is from RefSeq and is a predicted model, not a curated record.